Molecule: long non-coding RNA, 929 nt
Filed under: Ananas comosus (pineapple)
Lineage: Eukaryota; Viridiplantae; Streptophyta; Magnoliopsida; Poales; Bromeliaceae
Description: long non-coding RNA (ACOM_LNC012545)
Source: RNAcentral
CCUGAUUGGAUGUCGGAAUAAAAUAUCCAACGAUAAAUGUAAACAUUUUUUUUCUGUGAUUACAUACUUGGAGUUUAAUUUUUUUUGAAAAAUCUUAGCAUUCGCGAUUUAAUAAAAUAGCAUAUUUCACUGGUCAGGUGAUUUAUCUUAUUCUGGGAAACUAACUUGAUAGCUGGAUAUAGUAUUCAUUCUAAACAUUUAAUCACACUCCUCUUCUAUCAAACAUUACAUUCUUUUUGAAUAAACUAAAGAAGUAUCCUGAAUAAGAUAUUUAUGCAUUCAAAUAGACCCUUAUAGUAUUCCAUAAUCAAUGUUUCAAGGGAUAAUUGCACAUGGCUCCCUGCAAAUAUAUCAAAUAGCAAAUAUAUCUCUACAAAACUUAAGAUAUCAUAUUUAUCUCUGCAAAAAUCCUUUCAUCUGUAAAUAUAUCCUUCUGUUAAGAAAUUUUAGAUAACCAUGAGUUAAAAGAGUUAAACCACAGUUAGCUAAAAGAUAAAAUGACUUUUUUUACCCCUUAUAUAUGUAAUUUUUAUUCCAAUGUUGAGUCCCAUCACCUUUCUCGCCCUCUCCUCUUUAUUCAUGGCAAUGGCGAGACCUACGAUGGCAGCAACGUCAAAGAAGAGGCCCUCGGUCGUGGCAAAAAUGUGCCGUGGUGAAGGCAACGAAAGAGAGAAAAUCGGUUUUCAUAGGGACAAAUGUAUUAUGACAAAAUAAUUAUUUUACGCAUUCAUCGUUAAAAAAAACUAACGGUGAAUCAAACGGCAGAAAUAUAUAUGAACGAAUUUGAACUUUUAGAGAAAUAUAUUUGCAAAUCAGAGAAUUUUUGAAUGAAUAAAUAUGAUAACUUAAGUUUUGUACGGAUAUAUUUACUAUUUGAUAUCUUUGCAGAAGCUUGUAUGAAAUUAACAUAUGUUUUAAAAGCAUAAUUU